RNAcentral lists this ribosomal RNA (455 nucleotides) under Penilia avirostris. RNAcentral's name for it is "partial 16S ribosomal RNA". It matches the Rfam family "Bacterial large subunit ribosomal RNA", at positions 1831 to 2600 of the family's 2925-position model. The record is from RNAcentral. Lineage: Eukaryota; Metazoa; Arthropoda; Branchiopoda; Diplostraca; Sididae.
CGCUUAGUGAAAUAUAUUAGGUAUCGCCUGCUCAAUGCUUUUAACGUAAAUAGCCGCGGUAUUCUGACCGUGCUAAGGUAGCAUAAUCAUUAGUCUUUUAAUUGAAGGCUCGUAUGAACGGCGCGACGAGAAGAUAGCUGUCUCUUUUAUAAAUUUUGAAUUUCAUCUUUAAGUGAAAAAGCUUAAAUAGAUUUAAAGGACGAUCAGACCCUAUAGAGCUUUUUUGUUGGGGCGACAAAGAGUACCUAAAGAACACUCUUUUUAAAUAAACAUCUAUGAAUGAAUAAUUGAUCCUCAAGGAGAGAUUAAAAGACUAAGUUACCUUAGGGAUAACAGCGUAAUUUAUUUGGAGAGUUCUUAUCGAUAAAUAAGUUUGCGACCUCGAUGUUGGAUUAAGAAAUUGGUGAGGUGCAGCAGUCUCAUUAAAUAGUCUGUUCGACUAUUAAAUUCUUACA